GGAGGGAUGGGUGAGUGGUUUAAACCACCGGUCUUGAAAACCGGAAACCGCAAGGUUCGUGGGUUCGAAUCCCACUCCCUCCGCCA
RNAcentral lists this transfer RNA (86 nucleotides) under Acidobacteriota bacterium. RNAcentral's name for it is "tRNA-Ser". It matches the Rfam family "tRNA". From Rfam's summary of the family: Transfer RNA (tRNA) molecules are approximately 80 nucleotides in length. Their secondary structure includes four short double-helical elements and three loops (D, anti-codon, and T loops). Further hydrogen bonds mediate the characteristic L-shaped molecular structure. tRNAs have two regions of fundamental functional importance: the anti-codon, which is responsible for specific mRNA codon recognition, and the 3' end, to which the tRNAs corresponding amino acid is attached (by aminoacyl-tRNA synthetases). tRNAs cope with the degeneracy of the genetic code in two manners: having more than one tRNA (with a specific anti-codon) for a particular amino acid; and 'wobble' base-pairing, i.e. permitting non-standard base-pairing at the 3rd anti-codon position. Lineage: Bacteria; Pseudomonadati; Acidobacteriota. The record is from RNAcentral.